This 443-nucleotide ribosomal RNA is filed under the name uncultured bacterium. RNAcentral's name for it is "partial 16S ribosomal RNA". It matches the Rfam family "Bacterial small subunit ribosomal RNA", at positions 338 to 795 of the family's 1533-position model. The record is from RNAcentral.
CCUACGGGGGGCAGCAGUGGGGAAUAUUGGGCAAUGGGCGCAAGCCUGACCCAGCAACGCCGCGUGAAGGAAGAAGGCUUUCGGGUUGUAAACUUCUUUUCUCAGGGACGAAGCAAGUGACGGUCCCUGAGGAAUAAGCCACGGCUAACUACGUGCCAGCAGCCGCGGUAAUACGUAGGUGGCAAGCGUUAUCCGGAUUUACUGGGUGUAAAGGGCGUGUAGGCGGGGACGCAAGUCAGAUGUGAAAACCACGGGCUCAACCGGUGGCCUGCAUUUGAAACUGGGGGUCUUGAGUACUGGAGAGGCAGACGGAAUUCCUAGUGUAGCGGUGAAAUGCGUAGAUAUUAGGAGGAACACCAGUGGCGAAGGCGGUAUGCUGGACAGCAACUGACGCUGAGGCGCGAAGGCGUGGGGAGCAAACAGGAUUAGAUACCCGGGUAGUC